Molecule: transfer RNA, 77 nt
Filed under: Hydrotalea sandarakina
Lineage: Bacteria; Pseudomonadati; Bacteroidota; Chitinophagia; Chitinophagales; Chitinophagaceae
Also listed under: 3 other names
Description: tRNA-Met
Rfam family: tRNA
About the family: Transfer RNA (tRNA) molecules are approximately 80 nucleotides in length. Their secondary structure includes four short double-helical elements and three loops (D, anti-codon, and T loops).
Source: RNAcentral
GGGCCUAUAGCUCAGCUGGUUAGAGCACCUGACUCAUAAUCAGGGGGUCCCUGGUUCAAGCCCAGGUGGGCCCACCC